This 497-nucleotide ribosomal RNA is filed under the name uncultured bacterium. RNAcentral's name for it is "partial 16S ribosomal RNA". It matches the Rfam family "Bacterial small subunit ribosomal RNA", at positions 28 to 507 of the family's 1533-position model. The record is from RNAcentral.
GACGAACGCUGGCGGCGUGCCUAACACAUGCAAGUCGAGCGAAAGGACCAGGAGUUUGCUUGUCUGAUGUUAGCGGCGGACGGGAGAGUCACAUGUGUAUACCCUACCUAUCAGACUGGGAUAAUUUCGGGAAACCGGAUCUUAUACCGGAUAAUAUUUUGCACCGCAUGGUUCAAAAGUGAGAUACGGUCUUUGUGUCACUAAUAGCUGGAUCCGCGCUGCAUUAGAUAGUUGGUAAGGUAAUGGCUUACCAAGGCUACGAUGCAUAGCCGACCUGAGAGAGUGAUCGGCCACACGGGAACUGAGACAGGGACCAGACGCCUACGAGAGGCAGCAGUAGGGAAUCUUACGCAAUGGGCGAGAGCCUGACGGAGCAACGCCGCGUGAGAGAUGAAGGUCCUGGGAUCGGAAAGCUCUGUUAUUAGUGGUGAACAGAUGUGGAAUUAACCGUGCAGAUAUUGACGGUACCGGGUCAAAAAGCCACGGCUAACUACGUG